GAUGAACGCUGGCGGCGUGCCUAAUACAUGCAAGUCGAGCGAACAGAUGAGGAGCUUGCUCCUCUGACGUUAGCGGCGGACGGGUGAGUAACACGUGGAUAACCUACCUAUAAGACUGGGAUAACUUCGGGAAACCGGAGCUAAUACCGGAUAAUAUAUUGAACCGCAUGGUUCAAUAGUGAAAGACGGUGUUGCUGUCACUUAUAGAUGGAUCCGCGCCGCAUUAGCUAGUUGGUAAGGUAACGGCUUACCAAGGCAACGAUGCGUAGCCGACCUGAGAGGGUGAUCGGCCACCCUGGAACUGAGACACGGUCCAGACUCCUACGGGAGGCAGCAGUAGGGAAUCUUCCGCAAUGGGCGAAAGCCUGACGGAGCAACGCCGCGUGAGUGAUGAAGGUCUUCGGAUCGUAAAACUCUGUUAUUAGGGAAGAACAAAUGUGUAAGUAACUAUGCACGUCUUGACGGUACCUAAUCAGAAAGCCACGGCUAACUACGUG
This 497-nucleotide ribosomal RNA is filed under the name uncultured bacterium. Its description in RNAcentral is "partial 16S ribosomal RNA". It matches the Rfam family "Bacterial small subunit ribosomal RNA", at positions 28 to 507 of the family's 1533-position model. The record is from RNAcentral.